Molecule: ribosomal RNA, 391 nt
Filed under: uncultured bacterium
Lineage: Bacteria
Description: partial 16S ribosomal RNA
Rfam family: Bacterial small subunit ribosomal RNA
Source: RNAcentral
CUACGGAGGAUCCAAGCGUUAUCCGGAAUCAUUGGGUUUAAAGGGUCCGUAGGCGGUCUUAUAAGUCAGUGGUGAAAUCUCCCCGCUCAACGGGGAAACGGCCAUUGAUACUGUAGGACUUGAAUUAUUAGGAAGUAACUAGAAUAUGUAGUGUAGCGGUAAAAUGCUUAGAGAUUACAUGGAAUACCAAUUGCGAAGGCAGGUUACUACUAAUGGAUUGACGCUGAUGGACGAAAGCGUGGGUAGCGAACAGGAUUAGAUACCCUGGUAGUCCACGCCGUAAACGAUGGAUACUAGCUGUUGGAUGCAAACUCAGUGGCUAAGCGAAAGUGAUAAGUAUCCCACCUGGGGAGUACGUUCGCAAGAAUGAAACUCAAAUGAAUUGACGGGG